RNAcentral lists this long non-coding RNA (765 nucleotides) under Zea mays. RNAcentral describes it as "long non-coding RNA (ZMAY_LNC000239)". Lineage: Eukaryota; Viridiplantae; Streptophyta; Magnoliopsida; Poales; Poaceae. The record is from RNAcentral.
UUGGUUAGAAUUCAUAGCACAACUCAUUAGCUAUAUGCUGGUAGUAGGGUGCUAACACAACUGAUGGUUUGAAAUAUUUUCUCUUGUUUUAGGGUGAGAUUAUGAAGGUUUAUGCCAAUGAUCAAAUAAAAACAUGUGUUGAGUUUCCAGAGUGUUUUGUAUGUAAGUAGUAUAUAUUAUAUUUUCUUUUCAUUUUUUGCACCUUGUAUGUUUUAAAAUUUAAAAUGAUUGGGUAUCUGAGCUACAUGCCUUCUAUAGAGGAUUGCUGGUCAAACAUGAGCUGUCAGUGAGAGAAGAAUCAUGUCUAUGGUGUUUCUACCUGUGUGGUGUCUCCCCUCCGAUGCGUGCCCUCUUCCCUCUGGUUCUCCCUGAUUCUCACAGGUAUGUUUUGCACUGGCACACUUACAUUGGUGCUCUUUCUUUUUGCUGCUAGCACAAGUACUAUACUACUAUGGCCUACUUAAGAACUAGGAAAGUUUAUGUUAUCGAAUCAUCAAACAUGUUAGCAUCUUGUUAGUAUUAAGAAGCAGCAGUGAAUCAUUUACAUAUAUUUCUAAUUUGUCAAUAGCAGAUGAACAAUCUUCUACAUGCAAAUUUCUGUUCAGCGCGCUCGUGGUCAUUGGCAGGAAGACUCAUGUGGUCGGAAGAGGGCUGAUGAGCACGAUCACCAUGGAUGUGGACACCGCGGCAAGGGUGGACGAGUUCUUGGUUACCACCUUUGUAGGCCCAUUGGUGGAGGAAGACUUGACGAGAGGUGUGUGGUGA